RNAcentral lists this long non-coding RNA (330 nucleotides) under Vitis vinifera (wine grape). Its description in RNAcentral is "long non-coding RNA (VVIN_LNC004971)". The record is from RNAcentral. Lineage: Eukaryota; Viridiplantae; Streptophyta; Magnoliopsida; Vitales; Vitaceae.
AAGGUCCCGUGCUGCCAUCCGGCCCCAGUCCUUGUAAUCACAUCCCAGAACAAAGGGCAGGGCGAUGCACCUUCAAUGAAAAGAAUAUAGCUGACGACAUUGCAACUGCACCUCCAGCUGUUUCCGCGUACAUGCUGGCAGAGGAUGCUGCCAUGGCUUCCCUUGCUAAGGAUGGCUAUGACCAAGAUCACAGCUCUUAAUGAUGUAAUCAUAUUUGUGCAUGGAUCAGCUGAUGAGUUAGAUGUGGAAGAUAGAUCCCAAUCCUUAUGAUUAGUAUAUAUGUUUUAUCUCUAACCUUAAUUCAUUUCAUAUACUUGGUUUAGAAAGAAU